UACGUAUGGUGCAAGCGUUAUCCGGAUUUACUGGGUGUAAAGGGAGCGCAGGCGGCACGGCAAGCCUGAUGUGAAAGCCCGCGGCCCAACCUCGGGACUGCAUUGGGAACUACCGGGCUGGAGUGCCGGAGAGGUAGGCGGAAUUCCUAGUGUAGCGGUGAAAUGCGUAGAUAUUAGGAGGAACACCAGUGGCGAAGGCGGCCUACUGGACGGUGACUGACGCUGAGGCUCGAAAGCGUGGGGAGCAAACAGG
This 253-nucleotide ribosomal RNA is filed under the name uncultured bacterium. Its description in RNAcentral is "partial 16S ribosomal RNA". It matches the Rfam family "Bacterial small subunit ribosomal RNA", at positions 524 to 776 of the family's 1533-position model. The record is from RNAcentral.